This 909-nucleotide ribosomal RNA is filed under the name uncultured bacterium. RNAcentral describes it as "bacterial SSU rRNA". It matches the Rfam family "Bacterial small subunit ribosomal RNA", at positions 57 to 978 of the family's 1533-position model. The record is from RNAcentral.
GCAGUCGAACGGAGCUGAGAGGAGCUUGCUUUUCUUAGCUUAGUGGCGAACGGGUGAGUAACGCGUGAGUAACCUGCCCUGGAGUGGGGGACAACAGUUGGAAACGACUGCUAAUACCGCAUAAGCCCACGGAUCCGCAUGGAUCUGCGGGAAAAGGAUUUAUUCGCUUCAGGAUGGACUCGCGUCCAAUUAGCUAGUUGGUGAGGUAACGGCCCACCAAGGCGACGAUUGGUAGCCGGACUGAGAGGUUGAACGGCCACAUUGGGACUGAGACACGGCCCAGACUCCUACGGGAGGCAGCAGUGGGGGAUAUUGCACAAUGGGGGAAACCCUGAUGCAGCGACGCCGCGUGGAGGAAGAAGGUUUUCGGAUUGUAAACUCCUGUCGUUAGGGACGAUAAUGACGGUACCUAACAAGAAAGCACCGGCUAACUACGUGCCAGCAGCCGCGGUAAAACGUAGGGUGCAAGCGUUGUCCGGAAUUACUGGGUGUAAAGGGAGCGCAGGCGGACCGGCAAGUUGGAAGUGAAAACUAUGGGCUCAACCCAUAAAUUGCUUUCAAAACUGCUGGCCUUGAGUAGUGCAGAGGUAGGUGGAAUUCCCGGUGUAGCGGUGGAAUGCGUAGAUAUCGGGAGGAACACCAGUGGCGAAGGCGACCUACUGGGCACCAACUGACGCUGAGGCUCGAAAGCAUGGGUAGCAAACAGGAUUAGAUACCCUGGUAGUCCAUGCCGUAAACGAUGAUUACUAGGUGUUGGAGGAUUGACCCCUUCAGUGCCGCAGUUAACACAAUAAGUAAUCCACCUGGGGAGUACGACCGCAAGGUUGAAACUCAAAGGAAUUGACGGGGGCCCGCACAAGCAGUGGAGUAUGUGGUUUAAUUCGAAGCAACGCGAAGAACCUUACCAGG